AAGCAGAGGGGGCUUAGUGGUGGGGUGACUGCGUACCUUUUGUAUAAUGGGUCAGCGACUUAUAUUCUGUAGCAAGGUUAACCGAAUAGGGGAGCCGGAGGGAAACCGAGUCUUAACCGGGCGUUAAGUUGCAGGGUAUAGACCCGAAACCCGGUGAUCUAGCCAUGGGCAGGUUGAAGGUUGGGUAACACUAACUGGAGGACCGAACCGACUAAUGUUGAAAAAUUAGCGGAUGACCUGUGGCUGGGGGUGAAAGGCCAAUCAAACCGGGAGAUAGCUGGUUCUCCCCGAAAGCUAUUUAGGUAGCGCCUCGUGAAUUCAUCUCCGGGGGUAGAGCACUGUUUCGGCUAGGGGGUCAUCCCGACUUACCAACCCGAUGCAAACUGCGAAUACCGGAGAAUGUUAUCACGGGAGACACACGGCGGGUGCUAACGUCCGUCGUGAAGAGGGAAACAACCCAGACCGCCAGCUAAGGUCCCAAAGUCAUGGUUAAGUGGGAAACGAUGUGGGAAGGCCCAGACAGCCAGGAUGUUGGCUUAGAAGCAGCCAUCAUUUAAAGAAAGCGUAAUAGCUCACUGGUCGAGUCGGCCUGCGCGGAAGAUGUAACGGGGCUAAACCAUGCACCGAAGCUGCGGCAGCGAACGUAUCACCCAAGACAACUUUACGGAGUUGACGAUUGAUGGAGCGAAGCGACGUCAAAGCGUUCAUUAAAGUCGAGUUGGCUUAGGGAUACGUUCGUUGGGUAGGGGAGCGUUCUGUAAGCCUGUGAAGGUGGCCUGUGAGGGUUGCUGGAGGUAUCAGAAGUGCGAAUGCUGACAUAAGUAACGAUAAAGCGGGUGAAAAGCCCGCUCGCCGGAAGACCAAGGGUUCCUGUCCAACGUUAAUCGGGGCAGGGUGAGUCGACCCCUAAGGCGAGGCCGAAAGGCGUAGUCGAUGGGAAACGGGUUAAUAUUCCCGUACUUGGUGUUACUGCGAAGGGGGGACGGAGAAGGCUAUGUUGGCCGGGCGACGGUUGUCCCGGUUUAAGCGUGUAGGUGUGUGUUCCAAGUAAAUCCGGUUCACUUUAACACUGAGGCGUGAUGACGAGGCACUACGGUGCUGAAGCAACAAAUGCCCUGCUUCCAGGAAAAGCCUCUAAGCAUCAGGUAACAUCAAAUCGUACCCCAAACCGACACAGGUGGUCAGGUAGAGAAUACCAAGGCGCUUGAGAGAACUCGGGUGAAGGAACUAGGCAAAAUGGUGCCGUAACUUCGGGAGAAGGCACGCUGACACGUAGGUGAAGUGAUUUACUCA
Molecule: ribosomal RNA, 1293 nt
Filed under: Salmonella enterica
Lineage: Bacteria; Pseudomonadati; Pseudomonadota; Gammaproteobacteria; Enterobacterales; Enterobacteriaceae
Description: partial 23S ribosomal RNA
Rfam family: Bacterial large subunit ribosomal RNA
Source: RNAcentral